This 29-nucleotide non-coding RNA is filed under the name Rattus norvegicus (Norway rat). The record is from RNAcentral. Lineage: Eukaryota; Metazoa; Chordata; Mammalia; Rodentia; Muridae.
UCCUCACCACUAGGUAUGGCUCCUUCGGA